GUGAGGAAUAUUGCGCAAUGGGCGAAAGCCUGACGCAGCCACGCCGCGUGCAGGAUGACACCCCUACGGGGCGUAAACUGCUUUUGUGUGAGAAGAACAACCCCGACGUGUCGGGGUCUGACGGUACCGCACGAAUAAGGACCGGCUAACUCCGUGCCAGCAGCCGCGGUAAUACGGAGGGUCCAAGCGUUGUCCGGAUUCAUUGGGUGUAAAGGGUGCGUAGGCGGGUCUGUAAGUCAGAGGUGAAAUCCCGCGGCUCAACCGUGGAACUGCCUUUGAUACUGCAGAUCUUGAGUCCUGGAGAGGUCGCCGGAAUUCGUGGUGUAGCGGUGAAAUGCGUAGAUAUCACGAGGAACGCCGGAGGUGCAGACGGGUGACUGGACAGGUACUGACGCUGUGGCACGAAAGCGUGGGGAGCAAACAGGAUUAGAAACCCGGGUAGUCC
This 445-nucleotide ribosomal RNA is filed under the name uncultured bacterium. RNAcentral's name for it is "bacterial SSU rRNA". It matches the Rfam family "Bacterial small subunit ribosomal RNA", at positions 354 to 796 of the family's 1533-position model. The record is from RNAcentral.